UUAUCUCUUAUUUGUCGGUGUUUCUCAACCAUUGGUGAAAACCCAAUAAUUUCAUUCGGAAUUUGUAUAGAUAAACACUGACAUGCUCCUCAUAUUUGAAUGCUUAAUCCUGGGGCAUUCUCAUCUUCAACCAUCGACAUAAAGGCAAUCGUGGUAGAUUCACCAAUGCAAGUAUCUUUAGUCUCGUUAGUCCUUGUAUUUCAUUGUUUCCUUCUCAAAACCAAUUGUUGGGAAUUGCUUUGCAUAUUCCUCAACAUCAUGACGAAGCUGUGCAAUCUCAGAAUGAAUGCUAGUAUUAGGCUUCAUAGUUGCUACAAAGUCCUUCAACCUUGUUCCUUUGGUAUCUGCCUUGAUCUUCAAUGCCAACUUCACAGCUGCAUCAAAGAACUCCGCUACUUUCACAAAAUCUUCCUCAACAAAACCCCUAGAUGUGAGAGCUGGUGUUCCCAUGCGAAUCCCACCAGGCACCAUGGCAGAUACAUCACCAGGAACAGUGUUUUUAUUAGCUGCAAUGUGAACUGAUUCCAAAACCUUUUCGACCCUUGAUCCAUCAAUACCCUUGUUUCUUAAAUUGACCAAAACCAAAUGGUUUUCUGUUCCACCAGAUACCAGUUCAUAGCCCUUCUCCAGUAAGCUCUGAGCAAAUUUUGAGCAGUUACUGAGAACUUGCUCUUGAUAGGCUUUGUACUCAGGAGUCAUGACCUGCUUUAGAGCAACUGCUAAACCAGAUAUUGUGUGAUUAUGUGGACCACCUUGAAGCCCAGGAAAUACUGCCUGAUUAAUUUUGUCCUCGUAAUCAUACUUCACUUCUUGCCCUUGUUUGUUAAUCUCUUUUACCCCCUUCCUGAAGAAGAUCAUGGCUCCACGUGGACCACGAAGUGACUUAUGUGUUGUGGUUGUCACAAUAUCUGCAUAUUCAAAAGGAGAUGGGACAACACCCGCAGCAACCAACCCACUAAUGUGUGCCAUAUCAGCUAACAAAAUUGCCUUUUGCUUGUCACAAACCUUACGGAUGCGUGCAUAGUCAUAAAGGCGUGCAUAAGCACUUGCACCGGCAACUAUAAGUUUUGGUCUAUAGAGUGUGGCACUUUUCUCCAGCUGUUCAUAGUCAAUAUAACCUGUACUCUCAUUUAAUCUAUAAGGCAUUGUCUCAAAGAAUAUGGACACAGCAGAUAUCUUCUUUGUGUCAGUCUGAUAACCAUGUGAAAGAUGUCCACCAUGAGGAAGAUCAAGUGCCAUGAUCCUCUCAUGAGGUUUCAACAAUGCAGUGUAUACUUGAAAGUUAGCAGGGGAUCCAGAUAGUGACUGCACGUUCACUCCCCAUUUUUCAGGAUCCAAUUGAAAAGCUUCUAAUGCACGCU
Molecule: unclassified non-coding RNA, 1361 nt
Filed under: Hevea brasiliensis (rubber tree)
Lineage: Eukaryota; Viridiplantae; Streptophyta; Magnoliopsida; Malpighiales; Euphorbiaceae
Source: RNAcentral